This 1203-nucleotide ribosomal RNA is filed under the name Triticum aestivum (bread wheat). RNAcentral describes it as "partial small subunit ribosomal RNA". Lineage: Eukaryota; Viridiplantae; Streptophyta; Magnoliopsida; Poales; Poaceae. The record is from RNAcentral.
AUGGAUGGCAUGGUGGAAUCCAACAGGGAGGCGGUGCAGAGCUGCCACAAGGUGCUGGACCUCCUCUCCAACCCCCAUGGCCAGCUCGUCCCCCACAAGGACCUCCUGGAGGCCACGGGCGCCGCCGUCGCCAAGUUCGGCUCCCUAGCUUCCAAGAUCGGCAACGGCAAUGGUGGACGACAAGGCCAUGCUAGGUUCAGACAAAGGAUCAAGAAGCCCAUGCCUCUCUUCGACAGCAACCUCUUCCGGGACAGCCCCGCGUCGGCUGCGGCUGCCGAUGCUGCUGCUGCAGCACCACCCAAGACAUCCAGUCCUGGCCCGAGCACCAGCCUCCAGCUGUUUCCGAGGUACCAGCAGAUGGAGGCCUCCUCCUCCAAGGACCCUGUCAGGAUCCCAGCAGCCCAGUUCCCCCAGAGGAUGGUUGUGGAGAACCCGUCGGUCGGUUCGAACGGCCCGGCUCGCGGGCCGCCGCUCCACCUCGUCCAGCCGGUGUCUGUUGCGCCACCGGCGGGGACGCCGGCACCGGCAUUGCCGGCGGCGCAUCUCCAUUUCAUCCAGCAGCAGCAGAGCUACCAGAGGUUCCAGCUCAUGCAUCAGAUGAAGCUGCAGAGCGAGAUGAUGAAGAGGGGCGGCCAUGGUGAUCAUCAGGGUGGCAGCACUGGUGCUGGCAAGGGUGUCAACCUCAAGUUUGAUGGCUCUAACUGUACGGGGUCAUCCUCCCGUUCGUUCCUGACAUCUCUGAGCAUGGAGGGGAGCAUGGCGAGCUUGGACGGCAGCCGCUCCAGCCGUCCCUUCCAGCUAGUUAGUGGCUCGCAGACGUCGAGCACCCCGGAGAUGGGCCUCAUGCAGCAGAGGAGGAGGUGUAUCGGCAAGGAGGAUGGGAGUGGACGCUGUGCAACUGGGAGCAGGUGUCACUGUGCAAAGAAAAGGAAACUAAGGAUAAGGAGGUCUAUCAAAGUCCCUGCAAUCAGCAAUAAGGUGGCCGACAUCCCGGCUGAUGAAUUCUCGUGGCGGAAGUAUGGCCAGAAGCCAAUAAAGGGAUCCCCGCAUCCUAGGGGUUACUACAAGUGUAGCAGCGUGAGGGGCUGCCCGGCGAGGAAGCAUGUCGAGAGGUGCGUCGACGACCCCGCGAUGUUGAUCGUUACCUACGAGGGCGAUCACAACCACAACCGAGCUGCGGCGGCCCAGCCACAGCCAGCCUGA